Homo sapiens (human) is the source of this 585-nucleotide long non-coding RNA. RefSeq lists it as uncharacterized. The record is from RefSeq and is a predicted model, not a curated record. Lineage: Eukaryota; Metazoa; Chordata; Mammalia; Primates; Hominidae. The transcript is spliced from 3 exons.
CUUUGGAAGCUGCUGCACAGGGGUUAACAACAAGCAACAACUCAGGUCGCAUUCUUGUCAACGGAAGGGAGGGCCAGGUGGAACCGCCAAGGGGGCCAUUUCUGGCUUUGCUGGAGGCUGUCAGCUUCUGGUGGGAGCCACAGCCUGAGGGCAGCCAGGAUGGCUCUGCUGGGAGGGACACCCUGCCCAACCCUGGGAGCAGGUGACGAAGGCUCCUGGAGGCAUGGUCACAUCCCUGGGUCCCAGAGGCAGGAACAAAGCCCCCAGGGCAGUGUUCAUCAAGAAAGGGCCUCCGGGUUUGUGUUUACUGGACAUGAAUUGAGCUGCUCUCCAGAGAUAAGAAAAAAAUAUUACAGCCCUGCUAUGUGGGCACCCCACGGCAGCCCCCGGGGUUAAGGGGCAGCUUUCUUUCCAAGGAAUCCCAUUGCCAAAGAUGAACCUUCAGAUGGGGAAACUGAGGACCCAGAGGAAGCAAGAGCAGCCCCAGGCCACACAACCCUCUUUUUAUUAUUCAUUCACUGACUACACUGCAGAGGUUGGACCCAUAUCUCAUUAUUUGAAUAGUAAAUUGUUUUUUCUUCCUGA